UGCCAGCCGCCGCGGUAAUACAGAGGGUGCAAGCGUUGUUCGGAAUCACUGGGCGUAAAGCGCGUGUAGGCGGCUGAGUAAGUCGGAUGUGAAAGCCCUCGGCUUAACCGAGGAAGUGCAUCCGAUACUGCUCGACUUGAGUCCUGGAGGGGGUGGCGGAAUUCCCGGUGUAGAGGUGAAAUUCGUAGAUAUCGGGAGGAACACCUGUGGCGAAGGCGGCCACCUGGACAGGUACUGACGCUGAGACGCGAAAGCGUGGGGAGCAAACAGGAUUAGAUA
This 279-nucleotide ribosomal RNA is filed under the name uncultured bacterium. RNAcentral describes it as "partial 16S ribosomal RNA". It matches the Rfam family "Bacterial small subunit ribosomal RNA", at positions 506 to 784 of the family's 1533-position model. The record is from RNAcentral.